This 73-nucleotide transfer RNA is filed under the name Bos taurus (domestic cattle). It matches the Rfam family "tRNA". Rfam says of the family: Transfer RNA (tRNA) molecules are approximately 80 nucleotides in length. Their secondary structure includes four short double-helical elements and three loops (D, anti-codon, and T loops). Further hydrogen bonds mediate the characteristic L-shaped molecular structure. tRNAs have two regions of fundamental functional importance: the anti-codon, which is responsible for specific mRNA codon recognition, and the 3' end, to which the tRNAs corresponding amino acid is attached (by aminoacyl-tRNA synthetases). tRNAs cope with the degeneracy of the genetic code in two manners: having more than one tRNA (with a specific anti-codon) for a particular amino acid; and 'wobble' base-pairing, i.e. permitting non-standard base-pairing at the 3rd anti-codon position. Lineage: Eukaryota; Metazoa; Chordata; Mammalia; Artiodactyla; Bovidae. RNAcentral also lists the same sequence under 1 other name. The record is from Rfam by way of RNAcentral.
UCCCCAGUAGCUCAGAGGGUAAAGCAUCUGCCUGAAAUGCAGGUAGAGAUAGGUUCGAUCCCUGGGAGGGGAA